GAGGAAUAUUGGGCAAUGGGCGAAAGCCUGACCCAGCAACGCCGCGUGAGGGAUGAAGGCCUUCGGGUUGUAAACCUCUUUUCUGGGGGAAGAGACAAGGACGGUAUCCCAGGAAUAAGUCUCGGCUAACUACGUGCCAGCAGCCGCGGUAAUACGUAGGAGGCAAGCGUUAUCCGGAUUCACUGGGCGUAAAGCGCACGCAGGCGGUUAUGUAAGUCGGACGUGAAAGCUCCUGGCUCAACUGGGAGAGGUCGUUCGAUACUGCAUAGCUUGAGGUUGGGAGAGGGAAGCGGAAUUCCCGGUGUAGUGGUGGAAUGCGUAGAUAUCGGGAGGAACACCAGUGGCGAAAGCGGCUUCCUGGCCCAUACCUGACGCUCAGGUGCGAAAGCGUGGGGAGCGAAC
This 402-nucleotide ribosomal RNA is filed under the name uncultured bacterium. RNAcentral describes it as "bacterial SSU rRNA". It matches the Rfam family "Bacterial small subunit ribosomal RNA", at positions 356 to 773 of the family's 1533-position model. The record is from RNAcentral.